UACGGAGGGGGCUAGCGUUGUUCGGAAUUACUGGGCGUAAAGCGCACGUAGGCGGCUUGGUAAGUUAGAGGUGAAAGCCCGGGGCUCAACCCCGGAAUUGCCUUUAAGACUGCUUCGCUUGAACGUCGGAGAGGUGAGUGGAAUUCCGAGUGUAGAGGUGAAAUUCGUAGAUAUUCGGAAGAACACCAGUGGCGAAGGCGGCUCACUGGACGACUGUUGACGCUGAGGUGCGAAAGCGUGGGGAGCAAACAGG
This 253-nucleotide ribosomal RNA is filed under the name uncultured bacterium. RNAcentral's name for it is "partial 16S ribosomal RNA". It matches the Rfam family "Bacterial small subunit ribosomal RNA", at positions 524 to 776 of the family's 1533-position model. The record is from RNAcentral.